CCUACGGGUGGCAGCAGUGGGGAAUAUUGCACAAUGGGGGAAACCCUGAUGCAGCAAUGCCGCGUGAGUGAAGAAGUCUUUCGGUAUGUAAAGCUCUAUCAGCAGGGAAGAAGAAAGACGGUACCUGACUCAGAAGCCCCGGCUAACUACGUGCCAGCAGCCGCGGUAAUACGGAGGGUGCAAGCGUUAUCCGGAUUUACUGGGUGUAAAGGGAGCGUAGACGGCUGUGCAAGUCUUAAGUGAAAUCCCGUGGCUCAACCGCGGAACUGCUUUGGAAACUGGAUAGCUAGAGUACUGUAGAGGCAGGCGGAAUUCCUGGUGUAGCGGUGAAAUGCGUAGAGAUUAGGAGGAACACCAGUGGCGAAGGCGGCCUGCUGGACAGAAACUGACGUUGAGGCUCGAAAGCGUGGGGAGCAAACAGGAUUAGAUACCCGAGUAGUC
This 441-nucleotide ribosomal RNA is filed under the name uncultured bacterium. RNAcentral describes it as "partial 16S ribosomal RNA". It matches the Rfam family "Bacterial small subunit ribosomal RNA", at positions 338 to 795 of the family's 1533-position model. The record is from RNAcentral.